Molecule: non-coding RNA, 246 nt
Filed under: Pseudobacteroides cellulosolvens
Lineage: Bacteria; Bacillati; Bacillota; Clostridia; Eubacteriales; Oscillospiraceae
Description: T-box sequence
Rfam family: T-box leader
About the family: Uncharged tRNA acts as the effector for transcription antitermination of genes in the T-box leader family.
Source: RNAcentral
UAUAAACCUAUGAUCAAGGAUAGUAAGAAUAAUUGUUUGUGUAAAGAGAGUCGCUAGAUGCUGAGAAUGUGGCUACAAAGUUAUUCUGAAUGGUCUUGUGAGGGAAGCCCGAAAUUUUAAAAGAGUAGGUGCUUACGGGAAUCUCGCCCGUUAUCAGUGAGGAGUAUAUGAAUGUAUACUUAAAUGAGCGGACGAUUAAUCGUCAAUUUGGGUGGUACCGCAGAAGCUAAGACUUUUGUCCCUGUU